This 600-nucleotide ribosomal RNA is filed under the name uncultured archaeon. RNAcentral's name for it is "bacterial SSU rRNA". It matches the Rfam family "Archaeal small subunit ribosomal RNA", at positions 7 to 610 of the family's 1478-position model. The record is from RNAcentral.
GUUGAUCCUGCCGGAGGUCACUGCUAUCGGGGUUCGAUUAAGCCAUGCGAGUCGAAAGGGUUCGGCCCUCGGCGUACUGCUCAGUAACACGUGGAUAACCUGCCCUAAGGAAGGGGAUAACCCCGGGAAACUGGGAAUAAUUCCGGAUAGGUCACCGAUGCUGGAAUGCGCGGUGGCCGAAAGCUCCGGCGCCCGAGGAUGGGUCUGCGGCCUAUCAGGGUUGUAGUGGGUGUAACGUACCUACUAGCCUACGACGGGUACGGGUUGUGAGAGCAAGAGCCCGGAGAUGGAUUCUGAGACACGAAUCCAGGCCCUACGGGGUGCAGCAGGCGCGAAAACUUUACAAUGCGGGAAACCGUGAUAAGGGGAUCUCGAGUGCCAGCAUAUAAUGUUGGCUGUCCAGAUGCCUAAAAAGCAUCUGUUAGCAAGGGCCGGGCAAGACCGGUGCCAGCCGCCGCGGUAACACCGGCGGCCCGAGUGGUAACCGCUAUUAUUGGGUCUAAAGGGUCUGUAGCCGGCCAGGUAAGUCCCUUGGGAAAUCUGGCAGCUCAACUGUCAGGCUGCUAGGGGAUACUGUUUGGCUUGGGACCGGGAGAGGUG